AUUUGAAAACAAAACAACUAUUGUAGUUGACAAUUUAGAGGUUUUACAAAAUCACUUGUUUGUCAAAAAAAUAUACACCAUCUAUCCCUCUCAUUUCUUUACGUUACUUUUUGGCACGCUUUUUAGAAUUCAUUUAAAGUCUAAUUUCAUAAUAUAUUUUUUUUCCUGAAUAAAAAUUUGAUCUUCAAAUUUCUAUUACAGAAAGAAAAUUUGAAAAAAAUAUAUGAAACUAUGAUUUAUAUCAGCCCUAAAAUGCGUGCAAAGGGUGGGAGUAUAUAACAUUAACAAAUAACUAUACAGCAAAGAUCAUGAAUAACGCAUGCUCAGUACAAUUUAACACACGAGUAUACUUUAUUAUAUGAAUACAUAAAACCAUUGAUAAAUAUUUGUACUAGGACUUUUGCCCGGCUACCGCCGGUAUAUUCUUACUCAGGAGUACUGUGAAAAAGUCGAAUGGAAAUUUUUCAAACAAAAGGUCCACACAAAAGUCUAUGCUAAAGUGCUAUCAUAAGUCCCUAACAAUUUUUUUUUAAGGGUUUGUCUAGUGUGUGCCCAUGGGCACAUUUUAAGCACAAAUUUUUAUAGGUUUGGGGGAUUUUGAUUGGUGUGGUUGUUGCAUUUGCAGGGGGGUCCACCAUUAUUAAUAAACAACAACCAAUCAAAAUGAGUCAAACUUGUGGAAUUUAGUGUUUAGUGUGUGCCCAUGGGCACACACUAGAAAAACCGUUUUUUUAAUAUUGCAUAGGUAUACGAAACACAGUGAGCAUUCUUAUUUAACCAAUUGGGCCGAAGCAUAACAACUGGGCUAACGCCGGCAUAUUCUUUGGCAGGGCUAAUAUGAAAGAGCUUGGGGGAAAUUGCUUAAACAAAAGGUUUACAUGGAUGCUUUUAAAUACAGCACAUAAUAAUUUCUUUAAUAAUACGAUGUAGGGACAUAGCAAUAAGUAAAUUAUACAAAUUUUGCCCAUACAUUACUUGGCUGCUCUUAAGAGGAAACAUGUUACUCUUUACGUUUUAUAUUAUUUGAUGUUUUGAUUUAUCAUACCAAAAAUCCGACGUUGAUUGGAUGAUAAAAAUUAUUAUUUUUUAUUGAAUUUUUUGUGAAUUAAAAUAUUAAUUAUAUAUUUUUAUUCGGAUAAAAAAAUUUAACAAAUAAUAUUUUUAAAUACCGGAUCAAAUCACUUAAAACUACAUGCCCAAAGUGUUAAAUAUUAAAAAAGAGAGGGAAUAACCCAUUAAAAUGUAUUUGGAACAAAAAUAUAUAGUAAAGAAAAUUGUAUGUAUUAUUAUAUUUAAAACUGUCAAAAUCUAAUCAAUCCAUUAUUAGGUAGAAAUAUUUUUAAAGUAAAAUAUCCACCUAUGAGUUUUGUUGCAUGAGAAAUACCAUAUUUCUUAAUUAAAAUGAAUUCGAAGUCUGGAGCACUUCUUCACACACCAUUUCAAGCCGGUAGUCGUUGGUCUCAACUCUCAAAGAAGAAUUAUAAAACUGAAUAGAGAAAUGGUUAACCUGAAUCGUGGAAUAUCAUUUAAAUACUGAAUUAUGUCUGAGGUUGUGAUUUUUAAUAUUUAUUUUAUUUUAGAACUAACAACUCGUUCACAGUAGUAUUAUUAGUUCUUACUGUCCCAAAAUUAUAUAUAAUAAAUGAAAAUAAAUAAUUUUUUGAGUAAAAACUUAAUUAAUAGUAAUCAGGACUUUUGUUUUUAAAAAAAAUAGUAAUCACGACUUUAAAAAAUAUGCAGCGGGUACUACAAAAAUGUGUACAGCGGCCUAUUAUUUAAAUGAGUCUUGUCAAAGGAACCAACUCCUCUGUAACUGACUAUCCAAUAUGAAAAUAACCACUAUCCACCAACUUACUAAUUUUUAUUACUCAAAUAUUAAUCUCUAAUCAGUGAUAAAUUCAGUUGUUUAGUUCAAUAUAUGUUAAUAUAAGUACAUCUUUAUCUUAAAUGGCCUGAUGCACGAUUGAAAAUCAUUGACUUACGUUAUGCUUUACGUUCAAAUUGUAAAAUUGUUCAUGACUUUAAAUAUAAAAAACUUUCAAAACUUUAGAGUCGUAUAGUCAGUGGCGGAACCAGGAUUAAUUUCGACCCCGGGCUAAACUAUUAUUAAAAUUUCAGAAAAAAAAUUAAAAGUAAAUAUGUAUACCUUAAUUGGUUAAGUGGUGACAUCUUUACUGUCUUUUUUUUAGGAAGGAAUGGAUGACAACUAAAUUUUAUGAUUUUGCAUAUUUUGAUAGCGUUGUAAGAUAACUUCAUAGCCUAUGUCUUUAAAUAUGACCUUCUCGAUGUAAACCACCAUGUUAAGUGGGCUAUUAUUUUUAUAUAUAUAAUCAUUUUUAAAUUUGUCCCCGGGCUAAAAAGUUAAAAAUAAAUAAAUUAUACUUAUUAUUUUUUUCUCAGCCCGGGCUGGCGCCGGGGCUAGCCCCCCGGUUCCGCCCCUGCGUAUAGUGCAAUUCUAUAUUUUCCCUAUUACAGCUUUUCUUUUAUACAUGUGUCCGAUGUAUAAUACUAACCAAUAGCUAGACAUAGGGCCUGGAGUUAAUGCGGAAGAAAAUAUGUGAUACACUCGAUCAGUUUGAACAACUACAAUCACUACACAACAUCUUUAACUGACAUGUUGCGGAAAACUUUUAUCUUCUGCAAUGAGUAUAAAGUUGAAAUUAAAGCAACUCAUUUGUAAAAAUAUAUUACAACAUAAUUGUUGAGUCUGACUUUCUUCCUGGUUAAAAAUUAUUUAAAAUCAAGUAAUCCGAAACCUAAAACUGCUUUUGAACUGAUAUACAUGAAAUAUCUGGUAUAACUAAACAACACGGCAGAACCGAGAAAGACCCCAAGCUUGCUUUCUUUUCAUUUCAAAAACAGGCAGACUUUGUAAUAUUAAGUCUACACACCACUUCAGAUGGAAUUGUGGGUUGAACUGUUCACAACUCAUUACUCAAAAACGUCUUCCACUCCCACAAAGUAAUACUUCCUCCGUCCCCCUCAAUUGUUUACAUUGGAGGGGGACAUGAAGACCAAGACAAUGUAUGAAAAAUGAGUAAAGUUAGAUGAAAAGUGGGUAAAGUGGUGGGACCUAUCAAUAUUUAAUACUCCCUCUGUCCCAUUUUAACUGAUGUUUGACUUUUUAACACGUAUAUUGAGGUGUAAAAAGACAAUGUCUACGCUUAAUAAAAAAAUUCAAUUCUUAUAUCAAAUAAAAGUUUAGAUUCUAAAUUUUUAUUUGAUAUAAAUUUUAUAAAGAAUAAUUAUAUUUAGAUGUGAUUUUUUUAACACCUUAAAAUACGUGUAAAAAAGUCAAAAGCAGUUAAAAUGGGACGGAGGGAGUAAUAGAUUUGAGAUAGUGGAGGAAAGUAGUGGGUGUAAUAGUAGUUUUUAUUGUUAAAUAUGAGAUAGUAGUGGAAGAUAGUGGGUGUAAUGAUGAGAAAAACUUACUAUUUAUGAUAAUGUAAAGAAAUGAGAGGGCCAUCCCAAAAUAGUAACGGUAAACAAAUAAGAGGGACAGUAACAACAUUAAUAGUGCUUUGUAUAAUGAGUACAAAAGAAAAGUUUAACAACGUCGCACAUCAAGCAUUUACAUUGUGAUGUGUUAAUACCUCACUUUUCAAACAUGAUUCAAACUGACUUAAUACAAUAAAAAACAUAGAAUAGAAACAGAAGACAGAGUACAUGAAGACUCCAAAUUUGGUAUUUUUUCUUUUCAAAUUCAAUGGUCUAUUAUUGAAUGUACAUACCAGCACGGAGGGAUCUACGCGAACAAAAUUAAAGCAGUAAAUCAAUAAACCAAAUAUACUACCAAACAAAACAUAUAUAGAAAAGUGGUCCUUGUAUAAAAUAGUUGACCGGAUUCUGCCUAACAAAAUAUGCUUAAAAACUACCGACAAUCUAUCGGACAUUUAUAUACUAUGUUACACGUAUAUGGUAGAACACUUCCUUAAACACAACAUUAUCAGUUAUAUUUGUAUUGUGUCCACUGCUAUCAUCAACGAAAAUUUUAAGACCGCGUCGACUGGUAAACCGAUUUACAGCAACAUAAAGUUGGCCAUGCGUGAACACUGAUAUACCGGGCAUCUUUUCAAUAGCGCACACACCUUUGACAAAAUUCUUAUCAUACCGCGCAUUAAGAUUCUCACAAUGCUGCCGAUAUUCAUCAUCAUUAGUAUCUGCAAACAAUUUGAAUAUAUGAAAAACAAAACAGUAAACUAUUCCUCCAAACAUAUAAUGUUAAAUAAUUCUUACAUACCAUCAUCACGAAACAGAAUGCAUUAACGUAAUCAAGACCAACAAUUCUGGACUUCUCUGCGAUGGUUAUGUGGGUGGUAUGUUGUAAUAAAUUAAAAGUGAACUAAUAACAUCUAAAUUAAUCUCUCACCAACGUCCUCAUAGCCCACUACAUACUCCACGAUCCUAUCCGACAUUUGAUGGCCAAAAGCUAGUUUCUUAUUAACUUCAUCAACAACAAAAGUCUCUUUCCUGUUCAAUUUACUCUUCCCACGAAUACCUAUACAUAAAUAAUAUAUCCAUGCAUGUAAAAAAAUUCCAAUGCAUGGAACAAAAUAUGUGCUAUAAUAUAUAUAACACAGUCAAUCACCUUUUAUACUUGAAAUUAUAUUUGACUUUAACUGAUCAAGAGGAAAACAUUCAGCGUGAGGAGAUUCACAUUGAUUGGUACUCGAAAUAGGGGGAGACAACGUCUCUGAGAUUGCACGAUAGGUUCUUUUUCAAAGCAUAAUCAAAUGGUGAGUUAUAAGCUAUAACUUGCGUUUCAUUUAACUAUUACAUAGUAACAUGUAUAUUACCCGGGUCAAAUUUGGAGGACAUAACAACCGGAAAUUUUCAUCGGACAAAAGACCAAGCAUAUGUAUCAGGGAGGGUGUGCCGUUGAUUUCUAUGGAAUAUACAACGAAAUAAGAGAUAAGUAGGAGAAUGUUAAAGCUGUCAUAGAUUGAAGUAUAACGGUUGCAAUCAAUUGGUUUACCUGGCUACUUCGCUGCGUACUGCAUGAACAGUGACCGCAACCGGCUGCGAGACCGGUCCGAUCAAGUUAACUGCUGGAACAGGAUUACCUACAUGGUAUGUCGUAAUGAAAAGAUUUGGAGAGAGGUGAAGAUUUAACAGGAAGAGAUUAGCGGAAUGAAUUUUUUAAAGAAUCCAGAUACAGAUCUCACCGGACAGAACCGACGAAACCAAAGCGUUUUUAUCAGUCUUCCAAUCAUGGUACAACCCAAUAACCCAUCAGCAGCAUGAGUUUCUCUUCCCUGUGCAAGAGACAUAACAUAUAUCAACAGCAGACAAAAAAAUAAUAUAUAUCUAAAUUUAAGCGUCGUUGAAGAUAUACCCAAACCAUUAGAAACGGUAUUCGUUUACUACGAAGAGAAUGAGAGACGAAGACGGCUUCACCGGAGAGAGGAGGAGCAGUUUUGGGGGGGAGUGGAAAUCAAAACUAAACUGGGCAGACCUCCAUGUUUGAUCCAACCCAUCAGAAUCAGAACCAGACGUAUCGUUGUGCUGCGCAAACAGAGUUCAUUUGAUGAAAUCAAUGUACAAACAUAAAUAUAAAAGAGAUUUAUUAUGCUGAAUCGUUACCUGACCCGCUGAAAAAUCCAUUCGUUAUUAUCUUGAGAAUAAUGGCGGAGAGAGCUUGAGGCUAGAGCAAAGAAAGCUUGUGGAGGGAAAACAGAACAAAAGCAGAGCAGUGACAUUUGAAAAUAGAGAGGAAAAGUCAAAUAAUUACACAGAUUUGAUAGCCAUAAUUCAAAAUUCAAAAAGCAGUGUCAGACAAUAAUGAUCAAUGGCAGUGCCCGUAAAUAAGAGGCCCGAGAGGGGCAGUCGACGUAAUUAGGACGCAUUUUUGCCAUCAGGAUUUAUAUUCUGUAGAUAAUAUAAUUUAUAGGAUAGUGCAUUUCCGGCAUGGUAGCGGUGGAACUGGCAUGGUAGACGUGAUCAGGGACACUUCUUUCGACCACCGUGAGUAGUCAUAUUAGCGUAACAAGGACAAACUUCAUAGUUGCCGUAAGUUCCUGGAGGUACGCAACUGCAGCGCGCGCAGCAAGUCCCACAUGCCCUGUGGCACAGAUUUGGCCUGCUUGAUAACUUGCAUCUCUCGCCGCAUCUCGCUUUGCAAUCUACAUUACACACAACAGAUCAUCAGUGUUUUUUGUGCAUGUAAUUUCUCUCUAUCUCUAUGUAUACACAUGCUUAAAUUUUACCUAUUUUCUGGACAAGAGAACGGCCGCU
RNAcentral lists this long non-coding RNA (6234 nucleotides) under Daucus carota (carrot). Its description in RNAcentral is "long non-coding RNA (DCAR_LNC003383)". Lineage: Eukaryota; Viridiplantae; Streptophyta; Magnoliopsida; Apiales; Apiaceae. The record is from RNAcentral.